RNAcentral lists this transfer RNA (86 nucleotides) under Candidatus Falkowbacteria bacterium CG_4_10_14_0_2_um_filter_36_22. RNAcentral describes it as "tRNA-Leu". It matches the Rfam family "tRNA". From Rfam's summary of the family: Transfer RNA (tRNA) molecules are approximately 80 nucleotides in length. Their secondary structure includes four short double-helical elements and three loops (D, anti-codon, and T loops). Further hydrogen bonds mediate the characteristic L-shaped molecular structure. tRNAs have two regions of fundamental functional importance: the anti-codon, which is responsible for specific mRNA codon recognition, and the 3' end, to which the tRNAs corresponding amino acid is attached (by aminoacyl-tRNA synthetases). tRNAs cope with the degeneracy of the genetic code in two manners: having more than one tRNA (with a specific anti-codon) for a particular amino acid; and 'wobble' base-pairing, i.e. permitting non-standard base-pairing at the 3rd anti-codon position. Lineage: Bacteria; Candidatus Falkowiibacteriota. RNAcentral also lists the same sequence under 2 other names. The record is from RNAcentral.
GCCGGAGUGGUGAAAUCGGUAGACACGCAUGCUUCAGGAGCAUGUGCCUAAUCGGCGUGGAGGUUCGAGUCCUCUCUCCGGCACCA